This 1376-nucleotide ribosomal RNA is filed under the name uncultured bacterium. RNAcentral describes it as "partial 16S ribosomal RNA". It matches the Rfam family "Bacterial small subunit ribosomal RNA", at positions 28 to 1381 of the family's 1533-position model. The record is from RNAcentral.
AAUGAACGCUGGCGGCGUGCCUAAUACAUGCAAGUCGAGCGAACACACUAUGAGUUGGCUCCUCUGACUAUAGCGGCAGACGGGAGAGUCACUCGUGAAUCUCCUACCUAUAGGACUGUGAUUACUUCAGGCUACCGGAACUACUACCUGAUAACUUGUUGAACCGCGUGGCUCAACCUCGAUGCACUGUUUUACUGUCACUUAUAUAUGGAUCCUCGCCGCAUUAACUACCUGGUAAGGUACCAUCUUACCCUGGCCACGAUGCAUAACCGACCUGACAGGAUGAUCGGCCCCGCUGGAACUGAUACACGACCCAGACUCCUACAGUAUGGAACAAUGGGGAAUCUUCCGCAUUGGGCGAGACCCUGACGGAACAACGCCCCUUGAGUGAAGAAGGUCUUCGGAUCGGAAGACUCUGUUAUUGGGUAAUACCCAUUGUGUUAGUACACUAUGCGCGUCUUGACCGCACCUUAUCUCAGUGCCACGGCUAACUACAUGCCAGCAGGCCGCGGAUAAUACGUAGGUGGUCUACCGUUAUCCGGAAUUAUUGGGCGUACUCCUCGCGUCACGUGUGUUUUUAACUCUGAUGAGACAGCCCACUGCUCGUCCGUGUGAGGGUCGUUGGAAACUGUGAGACUUGAGUGCAGAUCAGGAUAGUGGAAUUCCAUGUGUAGCGAUGAAAUGCACACACAUAUGGAGGAGCACCUGCGUCGAAUGCUACUGUCUGGUCUGUACCUGACGCUGAUGUGCGAACGCGUGUAGAUCACACGGGAUUACAUACCCUGGUAGAUCACGACUAAACGAUGAGUGCUAGAUGCUAGGGGUUUCCGCCCUUUAGUGGUGCAGCUAACGCAAUAAGCAGUCCGCCUGGGGAGUACGACCGCAAGGUUGAAACUCAAAGGAAUUGACGGGGACCCGCACAAGCGGUGGAGCAUGUGGUUUAAUUCGAAGCAACGCGAAGAACCUUACCAAGCCUUGACAUCGUGUGACUCUUUCAGAGAUGGAAUAUUCCCUUUCGGGGGUCACAGUCACAGGUGGCACAUCGUUGUUCUCAUCUCGUGUCGAGAGAUGGGGGUAUAUGUCCCACAGAGAGCGCACCCUUUCAGUAUAGUCCCCAUCAUUAAGCCGGGCACUUUAAGUAGACUGCCGGUGACAAACCGGAGGAAGGUGGGGAUGACGUCAAAUCAUCAUGCCCCUUAUGAUCAGGGCUACACACGUGCUACAAUGGUCAAUACAAAGGGUAGCAACACCGCGAGGUCAAGCUAAUCCCAUAAAGCCGUUCUCAGUUCGGAUUGUAGUCUGCAACUCGACUCCAUGAAGUUGGAAUCGCCAGUAAUCGUAGAUCAGCAUGCUGCGGUGAAUACGUUCCCGGGUCU